This 1025-nucleotide unclassified non-coding RNA is filed under the name Hevea brasiliensis (rubber tree). The record is from RNAcentral. Lineage: Eukaryota; Viridiplantae; Streptophyta; Magnoliopsida; Malpighiales; Euphorbiaceae.
UAAAAAUACUAGAAAUAGAAUUUCACCCUAUAAUAAGAAAAUUACCUAGCUUACCUAUAAUCUGUUACUGUUACAAAUCCUGAAUCCUGCAAACAGACCUUAAACCGGGUUCGGUUACCGGUUCACGUAAACCUAACUCAUGGUCCUAAAACCUUCAAAAAUUUAGAAUCGACCCGGACUCUGGCUCGGCCAUUUCCUUUUUCUUCCUCAUCUCCAAUACUCUCCGAUGACUGUUGGAGUGAACAUCCACUGAAAAGGUUGGGCUACNNNNNNNNNNNNAAAAGCCGGCCCGAUUUAUAACGAACACCGCAAGCGUUACAUAGCGUCUUGGGCCCGAGCGGACCGGUUCUCCACUGCGGAGUCUUUUGAACCUGACAAUGACUACACCGCCGCUGGAACUGGGUUGACCCCAGAGCACCACCGAUUUGAGGUGUAAGUUUUUUCUUUGGUUUUUUCAUUGGUGGUUCCGUCAAUAACGAGUCAAUGCUUUGGACAGUGUUGGCGGGAACAAGACAUGGCGUUGAAGCAGAAGAUGAUGCCGGAGAAGAAGAAGAAGAAGAAGAUGAUGAUAAGUCUGUGAUCGGAGAACCAACUGACCAGGUCCUAGGGGUGGGUCUGAGCCGUUUGGAUCUUGGCUUGGAUGGGAUUGGAGCAGGGAAAAGACAUGAAACUUUGGCCGGCUGGGUUUGUGGUUGAAAUCUGUUGUUUAUUGCAUGGCUCUCUGCUGUCCAAGGGUACUGAAGGGAGAAUUCUGAGGAAGAAUCAUCCACAAUUUGAGAAACCCAUUCUAGAUCAGCCAAAUCUUCAACUGGUACAGAGAAUUCGCUGGUGAGGAGAGAAUCAGAAAAGGUGCUAGAAUUGGUGUUGUCAUCAUCCACACGAUCUUGAGACGAAACAGAAAGAGAAUCUUUCUCUUCUUCCUCGUCCUCUUCCUCCUCUACUUCUAACAAGUUUUGCUCUUGAAUAUAACAUUCGCCAUUAGAGAAGUCAAAGAAACCAUCAACAGAGAAAUCUUCGCACGAAAC